AGUGGCGGACGGGUGAGUAACGCGUAAGAAUCUAACUUCAGGACGGGGACAACAGUGGGAAACGACUGCUAAUACCCGAUGUGCCGCGAGGUGAAACCUAAUUGGCCUGAAGAAGAGCUUGCGUCUGAUAGCUAGUUGGUGGGGUAAGAGCCUACCAAGGCGACGAUCAGUAGCUGGUCUGAGAGGAUGAGCAGCCACACUGGGACUGAGACACGGCCCAGACUCCUACGGGAGGCAGCAGUGGGGAAUUUUCCGCAAUGGGCGAAAGCCUGACGGAGCAACGCCGCGUGAGGGAGGAAGGUCUUUGGAUUGUAAACCUCUUUUCUCAAGGAAGAAGUUCUGACGGUACUUGAGGAAUCAGCCUCGGCUAACUCCGUGCCAGCAGCCGCGGUAAUACGGGGGAGGCAAGCGUUAUCCGGAAUUAUUGGGCGUAAAGCGUCCGCAGGUGGUCAGCCAAGUCUGCCGUCAAAUCAGGUUGCUUAACGACCUAAAGGCGGUGGAAACUGGCAGACUAGAGAGCAGUAGGGGUAGCAGGAAUUCCCAGUGUAGCGGUGAAAUGCGUAGAGAUUGGGAAGAACAUCGGUGGCGAAAGCGUGCUACUGGGCUGUAUCUGACACUCAGGGACGAAAGCUAGGGGAGCGAAAGGGAUUAGAUGCCCCUGUAGUCCUAGCCGUAAACGAUGGAUACUAGGCGUGGCUUG
This 700-nucleotide ribosomal RNA is filed under the name uncultured bacterium. Its description in RNAcentral is "bacterial SSU rRNA". It matches the Rfam family "Bacterial small subunit ribosomal RNA", at positions 94 to 829 of the family's 1533-position model. The record is from RNAcentral.